CCACUCCCGCCCACCCCCUCGUUUCCAUACGGUUUGUUCACAGGCCCCUCCUAGGCCGGGGGUGAAUGCUCACUUACACUGACCGCUGCGAGGGAAUUGUUCGAAAGAUUCCAAAGUAUUUCACUGGACAUGCUCUCUGACUUCUGGAACUUAAAGAACUGGUGAUAUUAAAAAAGAUUUAGCCUAAACUAAAAACACACACCAGAGAUCCUAAACUAAAUAAUUUUAUGUCUUCAUCUUUUGUCAUGACUUUCCACUAAAAUAAUUAUUCCUGAAGCUUUUAGAUGAAAUAACCAUAGAAACAAGUUUCUUCUUUUCUGGAUGAUUGGCCACAGGAAAAUGGAAUGUAGGAGAUGCUGAUAAAAAUAUGGAAUUUAAGGAUUGAAAUCCAACUGAACUUGGGCUUCCUGCUUCAUCCUGCACCUGCCUUCUUGAAAGAAAACAAGACAUCAGAUACUUACUCAAAUAAUGGAAUAGCUGAUCAACUAGGUUUUCACACAAUACUGGCACAGUGUUGGUGAAUUGACUGGAACCAGAUGUCCUUCCUUCCUGGAAAGGAUGAUGUCGUAUUGGAGCCUGGAAAGUUAUCCAGUGAAGCAUGGAUGAACUGGAGAAUAACAAGAGAAAAAGCCAGUGAUGCUGAAAGCAGCUACUCCUGCCUUCUCCUCUGCUUUUUGCCAGCUUCUUCCUAGAUAUGAAUUUGGAAUUGUCCCCUGUUAGCUUAUAUCUGUUUCAUAAUCAUAUUUUCUUUGUGGUCAAGUUGCAAAGCAGAAUGGCUGCCAGGGGUUAGGAGAAUCAUAGUUUGGCCUUCCUUGGAAUUUUCCCCAGAUACCCUAGAAGGUUAUUUUUCCGCUUUUUACACUUGGUGCGCUGUUUGAUAGUGUGACACCUGGUGACUGGAGUUUUCUAGCUCUCCACCUGCUCACAAAAUAUGGUAUUUCUUUGAUCUAAAAAUACUCUUCUUGUAAGAUGUAGAAGAGAAAAAAACAAAUUAAAAAGUUUAAAUAGUCAAAUUAAGCAAGCAGCAUUCAAGAUUAACCUGGGCUCCAUCUGACGGCUGCUUUUGUUCUCCCCUCCCCCCGAUCCAGGGAGGAAGAGGA
This 1100-nucleotide long non-coding RNA is filed under the name Bos indicus x Bos taurus (hybrid cattle). Its description in RNAcentral is "lncRNA (ENSBIXG00000027442.1)". Lineage: Eukaryota; Metazoa; Chordata; Mammalia; Artiodactyla; Bovidae. The record is from RNAcentral.